Long non-coding RNA from Cotesia glomerata, 713 nucleotides. RefSeq lists it as uncharacterized. The transcript has 2 exons. The record is from RefSeq and is a predicted model, not a curated record. Lineage: Eukaryota; Metazoa; Arthropoda; Insecta; Hymenoptera; Braconidae.
AAGUUAAUAAAAUUUUUAAUUAUGAUUUCAUUUACUCCAAAGUGCUAAGAAUAAUCUCAAAUAUAUUUAAAUAUGAUUGCUCUUUUUUCCUCGACACUCAAGCGAGGUUUAGUUAUAUAUUUGAUGUUUUUAAAGAGUUUUGAAAUCGUACUAUUAUUUUUAAAUAAUUAUUUUUUGUACUGUUAAAAAGUUAAUAAAAUUAGUAAAACAAUUUAUUUUAGUGAUACUUAAUAAUUUAAUAUCAGUUACUCAACAAUAUUUAUUAUUCAUCUAAAAUAAAGAGACAAAAUGAAUUGCCAAAUACUUUUUAAGUCAAUUCAACGAGGAACAUCAGUAAUUAUCUCCCGGAUAACCUCACUUGAGUCUAGUCAACUUAUCACUAGGCAAUUCCAUGGUUUAACUCAGACUCUUGUCACAGCAGGAAAUGCACAAAUUCCUGGAUCAAAUUUUUGUAAAAACUAUUUACUGCAAUCAGUUCAACCAAUUUUAAAUCAUGCGUGUGGUCUAAAACACAAGGCUAUCCUUAAGCGUCGUUGUAAGGAUUGUUAUAUUUAUGCCAUCGAAGGAAGGUGGUUCGUUGGAUGUAAAACAUUUGGUAGACAUAAACAAGCUCAGAUUGUUAAAAACGAAAGAAAUACAUGGAUGUUAACUUCUGUUAGUCAGUCUAAGAAACGCCCGUGGUGGUAAAUACAUUAUUAUUUAAUCAACCAUAA